This 253-nucleotide ribosomal RNA is filed under the name uncultured bacterium. Its description in RNAcentral is "partial 16S ribosomal RNA". It matches the Rfam family "Bacterial small subunit ribosomal RNA", at positions 524 to 776 of the family's 1533-position model. The record is from RNAcentral.
UACGUAGGGUGCGAGCGUUAAUCGGAAUCACUGGGCGUAAAGGGCGCGUAGGCGGCUUGUCAAGUCUGGGGUGAAAUCCCACGGCUCAACCGUGGAACUGCCUUAGAUACUGACGGCCUCGAGGGAGAUAGGGGCGAGCGGAACUGUGAGUGGAGCGGUGAAAUGCGUUGAUAUUCACAGGAACUCCGGUGGCGAAGGCGGCUCGCUGGAUCUUUUCUGACGCUGAGGCGCGAAAGCUAGGGGAGCAAACGGG